This 192-nucleotide ribosomal RNA is filed under the name Triticum aestivum (bread wheat). RNAcentral describes it as "partial small subunit ribosomal RNA". The record is from RNAcentral. Lineage: Eukaryota; Viridiplantae; Streptophyta; Magnoliopsida; Poales; Poaceae.
AUGACACCUCUCCACACAUUUAUCACUAUAUUGUACAGAGAACCAAGUGCCCUGACCUAUGCUAUAAAGAGAUCAUGUGAAAACAAAGCUGAAGUUGUUGCUCUGGAUGAGAAGGAAAGUGAUCUUCGAGCAACACUAGACCUGGACCUAGAACCACUGGUUCACUUAGAACGAGUUAGUCGAUUGUUGUGA